AUACCAGCACCCCGAGUGGUCGGGACGAUUAUUGGGCCUAAAGCAUCCGUAGCCGGUUCUACAAGUCUUCCGUUAAAUCCACCUGCUUAACAGAUGGGCUGCGGGGGAUACUAUGGAGCUAGGAGGCGGGAGAGGCAAGCGGUACUUAGUGGGUAGGGGUAAAAUCCGUUGAUCCAUUGAAGACCACCAGUGGCGAAGGCGGCUUGCCAGAACGCACUCGACGGUGAGGGAUGAAAGCUGGGGGAGCAAACCGGAUUAGAUACCCGGGUAGUCCCAGCUGUAAACGAUGCAGACGCGGUGAUGAAUAGGCUUCGUGCCUAUUCAGUGCCGCAGGGAAGCCGUUAAGUCUGCCGCCUGGGGAGUACGGUCGCAAGACUGAAACUUAAAGGAAUUGGCGGGG
This 400-nucleotide ribosomal RNA is filed under the name uncultured bacterium. Its description in RNAcentral is "partial 16S ribosomal RNA". It matches the Rfam family "Archaeal small subunit ribosomal RNA", at positions 473 to 873 of the family's 1478-position model. The record is from RNAcentral.